UACGUAGGUGGCAAGCGUUGUCCGGAAUUAUUGGGCGUAAAGCGCGCGCAGGCGGUUCCUUAAGUCUGGUGUGAAAUCCCAAGGCUCAACCGGGGAGGGUCAUUGGAAACUGGGGGACUGGAGUGCAGAAGAGGAGAGCGGAAUUCCACGUGUAGCGGUGAAAUGCGUAGAGAUGUGGAGGAACACCAGUGGCGAAGGCGGCUCUCUGGUCUGUAACUGACGCUGAGGCGCGAAAGCGUGGGGAGCAAACAGG
This 253-nucleotide ribosomal RNA is filed under the name uncultured bacterium. Its description in RNAcentral is "partial 16S ribosomal RNA". It matches the Rfam family "Bacterial small subunit ribosomal RNA", at positions 524 to 776 of the family's 1533-position model. The record is from RNAcentral.